This 377-nucleotide unclassified non-coding RNA is filed under the name uncultured bacterium. RNAcentral describes it as "contains 16S-23S intergenic spacer region". The record is from RNAcentral.
UCCGAUUUGUCACCGGCAGUCUCCUAUGAGUCCCCGGCAUUACCCGCUGGCAACAUGAGACAAGGGUUGCGCUCGUUGCGGGACUUAACCCAACAUCUCACGACACGAGCUGACGACAGCCAUGCACCAUCUGCACACAGGCCACAAGGGAAACCACAUCUCUGCAGUCGUCCUGUGCAUGUCAAACCCAGGUAAGGUUCUUCGCGUUGCAUCGAAUUAAACCACAUGCUCCACCGCUUGUGCGGGCCCCCGUCAAUUCCUUUGAGUUUCAGCCUUGCGGCCGCACUCCCCAGGCGGGGCACUUAAUGCGUUAGCGCCGGCACCCAGGGGGUCGCUCCCCCAGGCACCUAGUGCCCAUCGUUUACGGCGUGGACUAC